This 192-nucleotide non-coding RNA is filed under the name uncultured Methylobacterium sp. The record is from RNAcentral. Lineage: Bacteria; Pseudomonadati; Pseudomonadota; Alphaproteobacteria; Hyphomicrobiales; Methylobacteriaceae.
GGGUGACGGUUUCCCUUCGGGGAUGAAAAGGGAACGCGGUGGGGGCUUGAUCUUUGGAUCGUGCCUGAUGCCGCGGCUGCCCCCGCAACUGUGAGCGGCGAGCCCUUUCGCCACGCGUGUCACUGGAUGGCCUCAUCCGGGAAGACGGCGGCAGGGCAUGGACCCGCGAGCCAGGAGACCUGCCGUCAGCCG